RNAcentral lists this ribosomal RNA (1343 nucleotides) under uncultured bacterium. RNAcentral describes it as "16S ribosomal RNA". It matches the Rfam family "Bacterial small subunit ribosomal RNA", at positions 28 to 1378 of the family's 1533-position model. The record is from RNAcentral.
GACGAACGCUGGCGGCGUGCUUAACACAUGCAAGUCGAACGGAAAGGCCCUGCUUUUGUGGGGUGCUCGAGUGGGGAACGGGUGAGUAACACGUGAGUAACCUGCCCUUGACUUUGGGAUAACUUCAGGAAACUGGGGCUAAUACCGGAUAGGAGCUCCUGCUGCAUGGUGGGGGUUGGAAAGUUUCGGCGGUUGGGGAUGGACUCGCGGCUUAUCAGCUUGUUGGUGGGGUAGUGGCUUACCAAGGCUUUGACGGGUAGCCGGCCUGAGAGGGUGACCGGCCACAUUGGGACUGAGAUACGGCCCAGACUCCUACGGGAGGCAGCAGUGGGGAAUAUUGCACAAUGGGCGGAAGCCUGAUGCAGCAACGCCGCGCGCGGGAUGACGGCCUUCGGGUUGUAAACCGCUUUCGCCUGUGACGAAGCGUGAGUGACGGUAAUGGGUAAAGAAGCACCGGCUAACUACGUGCCAGCAGCCGCGGUGAUACGUAGGGUGCGAGCGUUGUCCGGAUUUAUUGGGCGUAAAGGGCUCGUAGGUGGUUGAUCGCGUCGGAAGUGUAAUCUUGGGGCUUAACCCUGAGCGUGCUUUCGAUACGGGUUGACUUGAGGAAGGUAGGGGAGAAUGGAAUUCCUGGUGGAGCGGUGGAAUGCGCAGAUAUCAGGAGGAACACCAGUGGCGAAGGCGGUUCUCUGGGCCUUUCCUGACGCUGAGGAGCGAAAGCGUGGGGAGCGAACAGGCUUAGAUACCCUGGUAGUCCACGCUGUAAACGGUGGGUACUAGGUGUGGGGUCCAUUCCACGGGUUCCGUGCCGUAGCUAACGCUUUAAGUACCCCGCCUGGGGAGUACGGCCGCAAGGCUAAAACUCAAAGGAAUUGACGGGGCCCCGCACAAGCGGCGGAGCAUGCGGAUUAAUUCGAUGCAACGCGUAGAACCUUACCUGGGUUUGACAUGGAUCGGGAGCGCUCAGAGAUGGGUGUGCCUCUUUUGGGGUCGGUUCACAGGUGGUGCAUGGCUGUCGUCAGCCCGUGUCGUGAGAUGUUGGGUUAAGUCCCGCAACGAGCGCAACCCUUGUUCACUGUUGCCAGCACGUUAUGGUGGGGACUCAGUGGAGACCGCCGGGGUCAACUCGGAGGAAGGUGGGGAUGACGUCAAGUCAUCAUGCCCCUUAUGUCCAGGGCUUCACGCAUGCUACAAUGGCUGGUACAGAGAGUGGCGAGCCUGUGAGGGUGAGCGAAUCUCGGAAAGCCGGUCUCAGUUCGGAUUGGGGUCUGCAACUCGACCUCAUGAAGUCGGAGUCGCUAGUAAUCGCAGAUCAGCAACGCUGUGGUGAAUACGUUCCCGGG